This 272-nucleotide ribosomal RNA is filed under the name uncultured prokaryote. RNAcentral describes it as "partial 16S ribosomal RNA". It matches the Rfam family "Bacterial small subunit ribosomal RNA", at positions 524 to 796 of the family's 1533-position model. The record is from RNAcentral.
UACGGAGGGAGCUAGCGUUGUUCGGAAAUACUGGGCGUAAAGCGCACGUAGGCGGCGCAGCAAGUCAGGGGUGAAAUCCCGGGGCUCAACCCCGGAACUGCCUCUGAAACUGCAGUGCUAGAAUCUUGGAGAGGCGAGUGGAAUUCCGAGUGUAGAGGUGAAAUUCGUAGAUAUUCGGAAGAACACCAGUGGCGAAGGCGACUCGCUGGACAAGUAUUGACGCUGAGGUGCGAAAGCGUGGGGAGCAAACAGGAUUAGAAACCCGGUAGUCC